CCUACGGGAGGCAGCAGUGAGGAAUAUUGGUCAAUGGGCGCAAGCCUGACCCAGCAACGCCGCGUGAAGGAAGAAGGCUUUCGGGUUGUAAACUUCUUUUCUCAGGGACGAAGAAAGUGACGGUACCUGAGUAAUAAGCCACGACUAACUACGGGCCAGCAGCCGCGGUAAUACGUAGGUGGCAAGCGUUAGCCGGAUUUAUUGGGUGUAAAGGGCGUGUAGGCGGGAGCGCAAGUCAGAUGUGAAAACUCAGGGCUCAACCCUGAGCCUGCAUUUGAAACUGUGUUUCUUGAGUGCUGGAGAGGCAAUCGGAAUUCCGGGUGUAGCGGUGAAAUGCGUAGAUAUACGGAGGAACACCAGUGGCGAAGGCGGAUUGCUGGACAGUAACUGACGCUGAGGCGCGAAAGCGUGGGGAGCAAACAGGAUUAGAUACCCCUGUAGUC
RNAcentral lists this ribosomal RNA (443 nucleotides) under uncultured bacterium. RNAcentral describes it as "partial 16S ribosomal RNA". It matches the Rfam family "Bacterial small subunit ribosomal RNA", at positions 338 to 795 of the family's 1533-position model. The record is from RNAcentral.